RNAcentral lists this small RNA (28 nucleotides) under Bombyx mori (domestic silkworm). RNAcentral describes it as "ovarian small RNA-31777". The record is from RNAcentral. Lineage: Eukaryota; Metazoa; Arthropoda; Insecta; Lepidoptera; Bombycidae.
UGACGGUAGCGUGCGGCGCAGUUUCAGC